Lynx canadensis (Canada lynx) is the source of this 1424-nucleotide long non-coding RNA. RefSeq lists it as uncharacterized. The transcript is spliced from 2 exons. The record is from RefSeq and is a predicted model, not a curated record. Lineage: Eukaryota; Metazoa; Chordata; Mammalia; Carnivora; Felidae.
AGGAGCAGGGGGACUUCCCCACUGCCCCCAGCUCCUGCUGGGCCCGGGCGUCGCAGGCGCGACUCGGACUCCAGCUCCUCCUCACCUAGCUGUAAGAGGCGGCGGCGUGGCCACCACAGUGACUGAAGCCUGACCUGCUGACAGUUUCCAGCCUCCAGCAGACCCCCUCCCUGCCCCCCCUGCAGGGGCCCUGGCCCCAGAGACAGCCCCUGGCGGGAGGGCAGGGGGCAUAGCCUUGGGAGCCCCCGUGCGGCUUUGGGGUGGCCAAGUACAGCUACUUCUAUUUUUCUUUAAUUCACUCUUUGUACUUAAAUAAAGUUAUUUUAAGGGGAAAGUAUUUCACACUCAAGGGUAGGUUGUCACAUGUUCCAGUAGAAAGGGGCAGGGGAGAACAUGACGACGGUGUCGGGUUCCAGUAAGACCAGCCAGAGACCCUGGUGGGCCUGUCCCUGGGCAGUGAUGUCAGAUGUACCAGGAGACCUGGGUCACAUCUCACCCUGGGCGACAGGCUGGACAUGUAGAUCAUGAGGGUGAAGACUUGUACCUGGAGUCUCCCCCACCCCCCUCCAGGUGCCAAGGGACCUGCCCCCUGGACUCCAAGCUUGGAGAGGGGGGCAAAGUGGGGCACUAGCUCCCUCCCCCAGGCCUCCCCUCCUCUGCAGGGAGGGGACCUCUUACAACCCAGAAGAGUGAGCACAGGACCCAGGCUGGAUCCCUAAUAAGGAAAUAUGCAUCUUUUGCUUCGGAUUUGAAAAUUAAUCAAACUAAAGACAAUUAUGUCUGUCUAACCCUGGCCCUGGCUUUUCAACCUGUUAGUGGAGGGAAGGGCCAGACUGGGCAUCCCCAGGGCAAGGGAGCCUGGACUCCAGCCAGUCCAUAGUCACAGCCGGCUGGGGAGUCAGGGCACUCAGGAUUCAAGGAUGGCCUACAUGGCAGCAACACAGAGCUUGGCCAAGGUUUCCUGCCCUCCAUCCCCUCAACAGGCCAGGUGAUAUGGGCUAGAGCAGCCCCCCCCCCCCCAGUCCCCAUGCAGUGACCCUGCUGUCCCUAUCAUGGCCUGGCACUGCCAGCAGGGAGGCCAAUGAGGCAGUCACUGCCAGGGCACUGGGCCACGUCCACACCUGCCACGAAGCCAGUGGUCUGGGUGCCCUGCUCCUGUUCCCAGAGAUGAGCUGUGGCUAGUGGCACCAAGCAUUGGAGAGCCGUGAACUAGUUAAGAGACUUUAUUCUAGUAGCUAUAAUUACAGUGCUUGUUUGUCGAAAUGAAAACUGAAAACAAGUAUACAAAACAGUUGAUUACUAAUUGUGUAUUGAAAGCAGUAAGAGGUUCCACGACACCAAAUAAACCAGUUCUGAGGAUUUCCCCAAGAUAAAGUUGAACGGCUCCAGCUUCUUCAGUGUUUAUCAAAAUACGAAAGAAAAAA